GGUUCCACCCGUUCCCAUUCCGAACACGGAAGUUAAGCUCCUCAGCGCCGAUGGUACUGCACGGGAGACCGUGUGGGAGAGUAGGUCGCCGCCGAAU
RNAcentral lists this ribosomal RNA (97 nucleotides) under Desulfobulbus sp. The record is from RNAcentral. Lineage: Bacteria; Pseudomonadati; Thermodesulfobacteriota; Desulfobulbia; Desulfobulbales; Desulfobulbaceae.